AUCUGUGAAGAAUUACAUAUUGUUACAUUUAUUUUUUGGAGGUUUUCUUAAUGAAACAAGGUACAGUAAAAUGGUUUAACUCAGAAAAAGGUUUUGGAUUUAUCGAAGUUGACGGCGAAAACGACGUUUUCGUACACUUCUCAGCUAUCCAAGGCGACGGUUUCAAAACACUUGACGAAGGUCAAAAAGUGGAAUUCGAAGUUGUAGAAGGCAACCGCGGACCACAAGCUGCUAACGUAACAAAACUUUAAUCCUCG
Molecule: unclassified non-coding RNA, 257 nt
Filed under: Metalysinibacillus saudimassiliensis
Lineage: Bacteria; Bacillati; Bacillota; Bacilli; Caryophanales; Caryophanaceae
Description: cspA
Rfam family: cspA thermoregulator
Source: RNAcentral